CAGAACGUAGCUAAAACAGUAUAGCAUUUCCCUUACACUGAUAAAUUCCCCGUGCAAUUCGGAGCGUUCUGA
RNAcentral lists this transfer RNA (72 nucleotides) under Omobranchus zebra. Its description in RNAcentral is "tRNA-Val". It matches the Rfam family "tRNA". Rfam says of the family: Transfer RNA (tRNA) molecules are approximately 80 nucleotides in length. The record is from RNAcentral. Lineage: Eukaryota; Metazoa; Chordata; Actinopteri; Blenniiformes; Blenniidae.